RNAcentral lists this ribosomal RNA (467 nucleotides) under uncultured bacterium. RNAcentral's name for it is "partial 16S ribosomal RNA". It matches the Rfam family "Bacterial small subunit ribosomal RNA", at positions 28 to 507 of the family's 1533-position model. The record is from RNAcentral.
GACGAACGCUGGCGGCGUGCUUAACACAUGCAAGUCGAACGGAAAGGCCUCUUUCGGGGGGUACUCGAGUGGCGAACGGGUGAGUAACACGUGAGUAACCUGCCCUUGACUUUGGGAUAACUUCAGGAAACUGGGGCUAAUACCGGAUAGGAGCUCCUGCUGCAUGGUGGGGGUUGGAAAGUUUCGGCGGUUGGGGAUGGACUCGCGGCUUAUCAGCUUGUUGGUGGGGUAGUGGCUUACCAAGGCUUUGACGGGUAGCCGGCCUGAGAGGGUGACCGGCCACAUUGGGACUGAGAUACGGCCCAGACGCCUACGGGAGGCAGCAGGGGGGAAUAUUGCACAAGGGGUGGAAGCCGGAUGCAGCAACGCCGGGUGCGGGAGGACGGCCUUCGGGUUGGAAACCGCUUUCGCUCAUGACGAAGCUUUGUGUGACGGUAGUGGGUAAAGAAGCACCGGCUAACUACGUG